GCUUGUCUCAAAGAUUAAGCCAUGCAUGUCUAAGUGUAAAUAAGUCUAUACUGUGAAACUGCGAAUGGCUCAUUAUAUCAGUUAUAGUUUAUUUGAUGGUUCUUGCUACUUGGAUAACCGUAGUAAUUCUAGAGCUAAUACAUGCGUCAAACCUCGACUUCUGGGAGAGGUGUAUUUAUUAGAUGGAAACCAAUGCAGGGCAACCUGGAAUAUGGUGAUUCAUAAUAACUCGCGGAUCGGUUUACCGAUGCAUCAUUCAAGUUUCUGCCCUAUCAGCUUUGGAUGGUAGGGUAUUGGCCUACCAUGGCUUUAACGGGUAACGGAGAAUUAGGGUUCGAUUCCGGAGAGGGAGCCUGAGAAAUGGCUACCACAUCCAAGGAAGGCAGCAGG
RNAcentral lists this ribosomal RNA (390 nucleotides) under uncultured Chrysophyceae. Its description in RNAcentral is "partial small subunit ribosomal RNA". It matches the Rfam family "Eukaryotic small subunit ribosomal RNA", at positions 30 to 432 of the family's 1831-position model. The record is from RNAcentral. Lineage: Eukaryota; Chrysophyceae.